AGCACAAAAUUCAUUCUUCAACACAAAAAUGAAAUUUCUAUGGUGCACUAAUGGAGACUUUAAUUCUUAUCAAUUAAUAUGUGAAUUAAUUCCACAUUUUGACAAAGAAAUUAAAGAGUAAAAUUAUUAUUGUUUUGACCAAUUCAAACAAAAUAAUAUACUUUAAAAUGAAUUUCUUUUUUUAUAUUUUAUCAAUAUAAAAGAUCAACAUAUAUUUGAUUCAAGUUAAUGAACAUGAAGUCCAACUAACAAAUCAAAACUCAAAUCCAAGUUCAAAUAUUCAAUGAGUGUAUUUGCUACUUUGUACAAGUUUCUCAAAUCACACACAUUAGACUUCCAUUUCUCAUUUAAAUAAAACUUCAUUUUUGACAUAUGAAUACAUUAUUCAUAAUGUUCAAAAAAUAGUUCCAACAAUCCCGCACAUGAAUAGAAAUGAUUCUAGACACUAGACGACUCGAUAGACUUGACUUCCUAGACAAGGCUCAACAAGACUCAACUAAGGACAUUUGAGAGUACAAACGAAAAAUCCACUGCAUGGUGAGUUGGUAGCAAUUUUUCAGCCUUGAAACAAUCAUUGUUAAUAGCUAUCGGAUUUACUCGGCCAGAAGGUGGACAUGAUGUCUUGAACCUCCCGGGCUUUUGUGUAAACCUAGACAAUAGCUAUAACAUAGCUUCAUUGUCUCACAGAACUAGGUUCUCUAUUGUAUUCAUUUUUGGCCGUGAACAGUCCUGGUUAAUCAUGAGUGAACUUGGAGAAUAUAACAUUUCUUUCAUCCUCCUAUAAACGGCCCUAUUUAACACUCACAAGGUGAUUUGCCAUUAGUUUUAAUUAUAGGAGUAUCAUAUACUACUCCAUUCAUAUCUCAAAACAAUGAACACAAAUAAAUAAAAGUCAAUGUUUAUCCUCUAUUCUUUACAUGUAGCACUGUUUAAUCAUCAUAGGAACUGCGUAUAGACCGAAAUCGUAUAGUGCUUUGGACAGAUUUAGUUUGACUCAGUUGUCUCCUUGAACCUAUUUCUUGGGAUAUUCAGUCAGUUAGGUAGAGUUACCGCCAAACCUCAUCUUAAUUCAGAGGCUAUCCAUUCCUUUAGAUGAUAUAACAAUUUGAUCACACCUUUAAUAAAAAGAUCAUAGGUUGUCAUCAUAGUAAACAUAAUCUCUUGAGAUUAGUCGAUAUCAAUUGUCUAAUGAUUUUUGUCAUAUUUUUUUUUAAGAUACAAUUAACCAUUAUACACAAAACUCAGUGUAUGGCAAAUUUUUUUUUUUUGAAAAGAUCAUAUUGUUAUAACGAUCACUAAAGUUCAUUUGGCCUCUUGCCAACAACUUUAUAUGGUAAGCAAAGCUUCCUGAACAUUUCUUGAGAUAACUCAAAAACAUGCAUAUUUACAUUUAACAUCUCUUAAGAGUUUAGAAAAUUAAUCUACAACUCCUUUAUGAAUAAAAAAUAAUUUCGAAAAUUAUUACAAUUUUUCUUUAAAAUGUGUUUCAUUCUUAGAAAUUCACAUUUUUUCAUACAACUAUUUCCGAAGUUCUCUCAAGGUGAUUUAUAAAUCCAACUUAUAUAUCAUUUGAAUUUUUCCAAAACAUAUUUUUUUUUUUUAGCAAAUAUACACUACAGAAAAUGUGGGUAUUAAUAGCAUUAGAUGAUAGCGUUUAUGACAAUUAUGCUAUCGUAUAUGAACAUUUAUUUUUGUUAUAGCGUUUAUCGAUUUAAAAUGCUAUAUUUACUAUGGCAGAAAAAUAAAAAGAAUUUAGCUGCCUUAAUUUACUAAGUGCAUGCGAAAUUUCACAUUUGGCACCAAAAGAUACGUUUGGUAAAAUUGUUUUUUUAGCCUAAGUCAUUUCCUUUUUACAAAGAAAAAAAAAGCUUAUCGUCGUUGUAGACUCUUCUUCUAAGUCUUUCCCAAACUCCUUCAUCCAUGGUGAAUUGGCUCCUUCGUCUUCCUCUGUGGCUCUUCACCACCAUCACAUUUGUAACGGCCCGGUUUCUGGCCCAAAAAAAUUUCAUAAAAGAAUGGGCUUCUCUACGGCCCAUUUGACAAAAACCUAGGGUUCCCUUCACCCUUCCCUAUAAAAAGAGGCGCAGCCUCUCACUUUUCUCUCAUUUCUAAAACUUGAGCGAAGCUCUGCAGAGAUUUAGAGAGACUAGGAAACCCUAGCCGUCAAGCUUCUCUUUUCCUUUUCUCUCUUCUUCUCUCACGCCUCUCUUUCUCUCUCUCUCUCUCUCUGUGAUCUCUCUCUUCUCUCCCUCCUCCUCGCCGGUGCCGUGUGGUGGUGGUGGUGGUGGUUGCAGCUGAUUGGUGGUGGUUGUCAGAUCUCGCCGCUCUCUUGGUUCCUUGUUCCAGAUCUGUUCAGAUCUCCUCUCCCUUGUCUCUUGUUUCCAGAUCUAGAUCCAGAUCUAGGCUAAGGUGGAGUGUCUUGAACCCAUCUUGUUCUCAUGUACUGUAUACUCCUUUAUGUUGGAGUUAGGGUUGAUUAGACCCUGUUUGAAAGCUAGGAUGAUAGAUCCUGAUUAUUGCUAGGAUGUUAGAUGAUCGGAACACGAUGCAUAAGAACCCUCAUAUUGUUAAAUGGGACUUAGUAAACUGAAAUGAAGUUGUGGUAGCGAUGAUUGAUUGGUAAUUUAUGCUUGUAUGUUUGGAUGUGUAGUCCCAUGAGUGGUUUGUGAUUAAAGCUAGGAUGCUAGAGAGAAAUGAAUGCUAAGCUGAUAGAUGAGUAAUGUUUGUUAAUGUUAUUGAAGUAGAACUUGAGUGCAAUGUGUAUUGUGUGUGGCACCGAUAACGGGUGGCGUCUAGUGAAUGAGUCCAAGUACAAGUCUAAAUGAAAAGGAAAGUGAAUGAGAAUGGGAAGGGAUAAGUGAAAAUGAUAAGGAUGUGAAAGGAUAAGCGAAAGUAUGAAAGAAUAAGGUUACGGUUAAGCAUGGAUGGGAAAGCAUAUAGAGGGUCUAAGGAAAGUAUGUGGGGUAGUAGUCCACGCUAGGUAUCCAUAGGAGAUGUGGCCAAUCCACAAGAAUAUGGAAGCACCCAUAGGAGAUGUGGUCAAUCCACAAGAAUAUGGGGUAGAAGCCUAGUUGGGGCUACCCACUGUUGAAAAGGACGAAAAGAUGAAAAGGAUGUGCAUUGUAGGGUUUUUAGCUCAUGGUCGGGUAACAGGGAGUUAAAGGUGUCAUAGGAUCGAGUCGGACUGGUAUGAUGAGUCGGUUAAGUCUAGGGUUUAACGUGUGUGGCAAUGAGUGAGUUCAUUGUAAUGAUUGAUCACUAGGUUGCUAGAAAUGUAUGGAAUUGAAUGUGGACAAUUAGUGAUGACAGUAUGAAAUGAUAAAAAUACAUUACCUGAUUGUAGUGGCUAGUCAGUCCUAGUUCCCGCAUAGAGUAGUGUAGAGUGUCAUGCGGGCAGGCUGGUCUAGAGCCACUUCACUGAGUAACUUGUUGCUCACUCCUCCAUUUUCAUUUCCCUGUGCGCAGGACUGUAAGUAGAAGUAUAUGGAUGUGGGUGUGACGGUAUUUGAAAGAAGGUUAUGCGCCCGUCGGCUCUCGGGACCAGUAACGGGACACGUAGGGUUGUCUAAAUGAGUAGACACGUGUCCAUAACGCCCUUUCGAUAACCCCGGUCGGACACCGGGGGAUCGGGCCAUUACAACAUUGGCCGUCUCUAGCUUCUUUUUCUUAUUCCCUUCGUUUUAUCAAUUCCAAUUGCACAGAAACUAAAACUGUAGAGGUCAUUGACCUAGAUCUGGGACACAACAAUCUAUAAGAAACAGAAGAUGAAUCCUCAGACAAGUAUGGCUCUGCGUGAAGACCUCAUUCAAAGAACUGUCUAUGUGUCUGAUAUUGACUAACAGGUCACUGAGGAGCAGCUUGAUUGUUUGUUCAUCGGCUUUGGGCAGGCUGAAGAUGAGCAUGAGAUGCGUGCGAGAACUAUCUACUACACUAACAUCGACACUAAGGUGAUUCUCUAAGAUUUUUUUUCCUUCACAGCUCUAUAAUGAAACAUAAAGUAGCUAACUUUGAUGAGUUUACAGGUCACUCAAACGGACAUAAAACUCUUAUUUGAGGCUGCGUGUGGAGAGGUAUACCGUCUGAGGCUUCUGGGAGAUUAUCAUCAUCCCCAACUAGAAUCGGUUUCGAUGAGUUUGUCAUGGCUGAAAGUGCAGUAACUACUCUCAAUUGCAGUGGCGUGCUUCUUGGCUCUUUACAGAUAAGGCCC
Long non-coding RNA from Brassica napus (rape), 4207 nucleotides. RefSeq lists it as uncharacterized. NCBI's taxonomy places the organism in Eukaryota, Viridiplantae, Streptophyta, Magnoliopsida, Brassicales, Brassicaceae. The transcript has 4 exons. The record is from RefSeq and is a predicted model, not a curated record.